AUCCUGUUGAUCUGUGACCUUACCCCCAACCCUGUGCUCUCUGAAACAUGUGCUGUGUCCACUCAGGGUUGAAUGGAUUAAGGGUGGUGCAAGAUGUGCUUUGUUAAACAGAUGCUUGAAGGCAGCAUGCUCCUUAAGAGUCAUCGCCACUCCCUAAUCUCAAGUACCCAGGGACACAAACACUUCGGAAGGCCGCAGGGUCCUCUGCCUAGGAAAACCAGAGACCUUUGUUCACUUGUUUAUCUGCUGACCUUCCCUCCACUAUUGUCCUAUGACCCUGCCAAAUCCCCCUCUGCGAGAAACACCCAAGAAUGAUCAAUUAAAAAAAAAAAACAAAAAAAAAAACAAGCCAAGGCAGGGGCCCACAGCUCUCUGUGACCCACCUGGGCAGACCUGGCCCGUGAUAGAAGGAGAGGGUGAUGGUAUGAGACUCAAACCCCUGGGCUUGGGCACUACGUAUCCUUGGACAAGUCACACACCUCUAUGAAUUCCCUUUGCUCAAGCAUAUGAUGCAGUUGCUUAAUUAAACUCUUGUGAGGACCAAGAGAGGGAAUGGCUGUGAAAAUGCUUUGAAAAUAUAAAACCAGGCCAGUCAAUAUGGCUCACGCCUGUAAUCCCAGCAGUUUGGGAGGCUGAGGCGGGAGGAUCGCCUGAGGUCAGGAGUUCAAGACCGGCCUGGCCAACAUGGCGAAACCCCAUCGAUCCUAAAAAUACAAAAACUUAGCUGGACAUGGUGGCGUGGGCCUGUAAUCCCACCUACCCAGGAGGCUGAGGCAGGAGAAUCGCUGGAACCCGGGAGGCAGAGGCUGUAGUGAGCCGAGAUUGUGCCACUGCACUCCAGCCUGAGUGACAGAGCAAGACUCCAUCUCAAAAAAAAAAAAAAAGAAAAGAAAAUAUAAAAGCAAGACAAAGGCAAUAGGGAAUCAUGGUCAUGUUGUUCAGCAGCCAUCAGGGAACUGAAGCUCAGUUUCUGGACACUUGGUUUGGUAUUUAAGGCCUUGUCACCUGGGAAGAGGUGGAAAGGGGUGCAUUUUCCCUGUGGCCUACUAGUUCCUUGAGAAUAAAGCCCUUCUCUACUCCAUGUGUUGGCACAAAUACUCUUGAUGACAUAAGGAAAUUCUUGAAAAACUCACAUUACCUGAAAAUGCACAUGUCAAAGCACUGUCCUCACAAGAAGCGAUGGUAAAGGACUUCAUUGUCCAUCCAUGGAGCAAACAGCCCUGAACUACCAACACCCAGCCUCACAGAGCCCCUGUGGCUGGUGCCUGCCCCUCAGCCUGCCCAGGGAAGAGUUAUGGUGGGGGAUGUGAAGUUCUGGGGUGGUGUCUCUUCAGAAAGACGGUUUGCAAAACCCUUCCUGCCACUAUUCCAAGCCCUGUGCCCUUCAGCUCCAGAAAGAACCUUUUUACAGCUUCUUGGUGCCAGCAUGUUCUGACAAACGCCAUUUCUAGAAUAAUUUCCUAACAGGUUCCAAGAUCAAAUCACACAUGGGUAAUGCAGCAAAAUUUCCAGGGCAUAGGAACAGAGAGAUCAGGGAG
This 1538-nucleotide long non-coding RNA is filed under the name Homo sapiens (human). Its description in RNAcentral is "HSALNT0129853". Lineage: Eukaryota; Metazoa; Chordata; Mammalia; Primates; Hominidae. The record is from RNAcentral.